This is a long non-coding RNA of Procambarus clarkii (red swamp crayfish), 538 nucleotides long. RefSeq lists it as uncharacterized. The record is from RefSeq and is a predicted model, not a curated record. NCBI's taxonomy places the organism in Eukaryota, Metazoa, Arthropoda, Malacostraca, Decapoda, Cambaridae.
GCGCGACCGACGCCGGCCCACAACACCACCAGACACCACCCAAGAAGGAUACUACGUACAGAGACACUCUCUUCCCUUCUUCCUUGCUCCAGGCUUUGUCUCAAUUUCUACGACACUUUCCUACACUGCUAACAAACCAACUGCUGUAACCAAGACUAUAUUAUAUAAAUAUAUAAAACCACUAAGCUCUGUCCAAUCAAGCAAACACAAACACGUAAUCGUAGGUUACAAAGCAUUUACAGCGUUGUGGUUAGAAGGAAAGUGGUGAGCGAAGCACGUGCUCUGGAAGUGUUUGGACGUCAGCAGUUUCAGAUGAAUGAAUACAGAGCAAUUAAAUAUAUGACCGUUCACCAGGUUGAUUCCUGGGCAGUACAAGACGUUUGGACAAGUUUCCUCUUCACAUAGCAGUAACUAGCAUUUGGAGGCACAUACAUCAGCCAGCAUUUGUUGAUCAAAUACCUUCCAUAUAGCCGCAAGAAUCAUAUUAUAGUGUCAAGCUUGGUGGCUUGCUGUGUGGCUUACCAAGUGACAGCUGUGC